Molecule: unclassified non-coding RNA, 345 nt
Filed under: soil metagenome
Description: partial contains 5.8S ribosomal RNA, internal transcribed spacer 2, and large subunit ribosomal RNA
Rfam family: 5.8S ribosomal RNA (bases 1-121)
Source: RNAcentral
GAUGAAGAACGUAGUGAAAUGCGAUACGUAAUGUGAAUUGCAGAAUUCAGUGAAUCAUCGAGUCUUUGAACGCACAUUGCGCCCCCUGGUAUUCCGGGGGGGCAUGCCUGUCCGAGCGUCAUUGCUGCCCUCAAGCACGGCUUGUGUGUUGGGCCUCCGUCCUCCUCCCGGGGGACGGGCCCGAAAGGCAGCGGCGGCACCGCGUCCGGUCCUCGAGCGUAUGGGGCUUCGUCACCCGCUCUUGUAGGCCCGGCCGGCGCUUGCCGACACAUCAAUCUUUUUUCCAGGUUGACCUCGGAUCAGGUAGGGAUACCCGCUGAACUUAAGCAUAUCAAUAAGCGGAGG